RNAcentral lists this ribosomal RNA (727 nucleotides) under Streptomyces sp. WRA44. RNAcentral describes it as "bacterial SSU rRNA". It matches the Rfam family "Bacterial small subunit ribosomal RNA", at positions 31 to 774 of the family's 1533-position model. Lineage: Bacteria; Bacillati; Actinomycetota; Actinomycetes; Kitasatosporales; Streptomycetaceae. The record is from RNAcentral.
AGAGGCUGGAGCGCGUACUUACGCGUGUUCGAGUCGCACGAUGAACCACUUGCGGUGGGGAUUAGUGGCGAACGGGUGAGUAACACGUGGGCAAUCUGCCCUUCACUCUGGGACAAGCCCUGGAAACGGGGUCUAAUACCGGAUACCACUACCGCAGGCAUCUGUGGUGGUUGAAAGCUCCGGCGGUGAAGGAUGAGCCCGCGGCCUAUCAGCUUGUUGGUGAGGUAAUGGCUCACCAAGGCGACGACGGGUAGCCGGCCUGAGAGGGCGACCGGCCACACUGGGACUGAGACACGGCCCAGACUCCUACGGGAGGCAGCAGUGGGGAAUAUUGCACAAUGGGCGAAAGCCUGAUGCAGCGACGCCGCGUGAGGGAUGACGGCCUUCGGGUUGUAAACCUCUUUCAGCAGGGAAGAAGCGAAAGUGACGGUACCUGCAGAAGAAGCGCCGGCUAACUACGUGCCAGCAGCCGCGGUAAUACGUAGGGCGCAAGCGUUGUCCGGAAUUAUUGGGCGUAAAGAGCUCGUAGGCGGCUUGUCACGUCGGGUGUGAAAGCCCGGGGCUUAACCCCGGGUCUGCAUUCGAUACGGGCUAGCUAGAGUGUGGUAGGGAGAUCGGAAUUCCUGGUGUAGCGGUGAAAUGCGCAGAUAUCUGAGGAACACCGGUGGCGAAGGCGGAUCUCUGGGCCAUUACUGACGCUGAGGAGCGAAGCGUGGGGGAGCCACAG